AACGCACCUUGCACUCCUUGGUAUUCCGAGGAGUAUGCCUGUUUGAGUGUCAUUAAUAUAUCAACCUCUCAAGCUUUUUGCUUGUGGAGUGUAUGGAUGUGGGGGGAUUAUUUUGCUGGCCUUUUUCGUGAGGUCGGCUCCCCUGAAAUGCAUUGGCAGAAUGAUUUGCUGACCGUUUAUUGGUGUGAUAACUAUCUACGCUGUUGACGUGAAGCAAGUUCAGCUUAUAAUGGUCCAUUGACUUGGACAACAUAUUUAUUAAUGUGACCUCAAAUCAGGUAGGACUACCCGCUGAACUUAA
RNAcentral lists this unclassified non-coding RNA (301 nucleotides) under uncultured Cortinariaceae. RNAcentral describes it as "sequence contains ITS2". The stretch from base 1 to 52 matches the Rfam family "5.8S ribosomal RNA", at positions 103 to 154 of the family's 154-position model. Lineage: Eukaryota; Fungi; Basidiomycota; Agaricomycetes; Agaricales; Cortinariaceae. The record is from RNAcentral.